UUUAUAGAGAAUUCUGGAGCAGCAAUUAAAGCGCCAAACCAGUGCCCAAUCAGAAAUGCUCUGAAAUCUGUCGACCCAUCAUUUCAACAUUUCCUUUUCAGUUUUGACGAUUUCAGUCACCCGAAAGCUUAUCUUCCCAAAACAUUUCUAUUUUCCAUGAAGCUUUCCUUCUCCUACUACUUUAUUCCCCAUCAGAUUUCUCAAUCUAGUUCUUGUUCCCAAUCAAGCAUUUCUUGAUCUUCGGCAUAAGCAGGGACUUCCAUUUCCAGGUACACUUCCUCUCUUCUCUUUAGAGUUUCAGUUGCGAUGGUAUGAGCGAAGGUAUUUGUUUGUCUCGGUGUGUGAUUGAUUCUGAUUAUGUUCGUUUUUUUACUCUCCUACUGUAUAUCAUAGAUGUAUGUCGCUAUUAAUGACCGAUCCUGAUUUUGUAUUUUACAUUUUCUGAUUAUUACGAGGGAAUCUCCUUCGAUAAUAAUUGAGUGCCAGCCCUUUUCCACCCUUGUUUGUACUGCUUUCCAACAUGCUAUUGCUUCAGCAGCAAAGGCUAAGGUAAUCCCGUGAUGAAUCUCUGAACGUGAUAAUAGAACUCUUCCAUCCUUAUUUCUGGCUACUAUACCUGAAGCCGACUGGUUCUGCCUCUCAUUGAACGCACCAUCAAAGUUGAUCUUGACAAAAUUAUUAGGUGGGCGCUGGCAUUUUCUAUUAUCUACUCUUUUCUCUGAUUUCCUUUUAUCAAAACCAGAAAUCCCUUUUAUGUAAUUAUUGAUGAAGUCUGCAAUUUCCUUACCAGUUCUAACCUUUCUUUCAUGAAUUCUUUUAUUUUGAUCUCCCCAUAUGGCCCAAAGCGCGCAGCAGAAAAGACGACAUUCGCAAGGAGUGAGCUGCUCAAAAACCCAUGUAAGACACUUUAUAAAAUCCAUGUUUUGAGCCAUAAUUUUAUUCUGAAUGGAUAAUGCUGUCCAUACUUCCAUUGUAAGAGGGCACUCUCGGAAUAAAUGGUCAAUAGUCUCAACCCCUUCCCCACAUCGAGGGCAGUUUGUGUAAUUUGCAAGGUUUCUGCUCCGCAUAUUAGUCUUUGUAGGCAAAUAAUUCCAUGAAAAUUUUCAAACUGUAAUCUUUAUUUUUUCUGGUAAAUUAAGGAGUCAGUUUUUUUGUAAAAAUUCCUAUAGAUGGUCUUUAAAGCAUAAGCUCUCGGAAUUUCAUAAUAAUCUUGUAAUAGUUUAUAGUCACUACGCACUGAGAAUUCGCCCGAAGACUCUGCCCCCCAAGUGAGAAAAUCAUCAUGAGGUGUCUGUGCCAAGGGAAUACGGAGGAUUCUUUCAGCAUCUUCUUCUGAGAAGGUAUUAUGAAUUAACUCAUUUUUCCAUAGUCUAUUACUGCUGUCAAUCAAAUCAAAUACUUUAGAAUCGCUCAUAGUAUUAACUACUGUGGAUAAUCUAAAAUCUGGAGCCUCUAGUAUCCAAGCAUCAUGGUUAAUACAUAUGUUAAGACCUGUACCAUCCCUCCAACAAAGCCCUUUUUCCAAAACGCCUUUAGCUGCCCAAAUACUUCUCCACACAUAAGAACUGGAAUUCCCCAACCGAGAGUUUAAAAAAUGAUCAUUUGGGAAAUAUUUUGCUUUAAAGACUUGUGUAACUAGAGAAUUCUGAUUAUUAAUAAUUCUCCAGCCUUGCUUAGCUAAUAGUGAAAUGCUAAAAUGGGCCAUAUCUCUGAAACCCAUUCCUCCCUCCACUUUAGGACAGCACAUGAAUUUCUAUUGAUACUAGUGGAUUCCUUUUUUCCUUUUUCCUUUUUGCCACCAGAAUCUAGCAAAGAUGUUCUCAAAAUCCCCACAAAGUGACUUAGGAAAAAGAAAACAAGUCAUUACAUAGGUUGGUAUGGCUUGUAGUACGAAUUUUAUAAACACCUCAUUUCUCCUUUGAGAUAGGAGUCGUGUACUCCAGUUUUCAAUUAUUUGCUUUAUCCUAUCCUUAAGAUUCUGAAACGACUCCCUCUUUCGUCUACCCAUCACAUUAGGGAGACCUAAAUAGUUCUCCAUAUUUGUCGAGCACCUUACUCCCAUAUCAUUUGAAAUUUCUGCUCUAUCCCCCUCUGUCAUGUUAAAGUUGAAGAAAAUUGUUGAUUUGUUGAAGUUAACACACUGGCCGGAACAUCGCUCUCACUCCUUUAAAAUAUCCUUUAGAAUCCUUGAUCCCCUUUUUGUGGCUUCACCAAACAGAAUACAAUCAUCCGCAAAUAGAAAAUGUGAAAUCGCUGGUCCUUUUCUGCUAGCCUUAACACCCUUUAACAAUCCCUCUUUUGUAGCCAACCUAAUCAAAGAAGAUAAUCCUUCAUUGCAUAUCAGAAAGAGAAAAGGGCUAAGUGGAUCGCCUUGGCAAAGCCCUCUAUUCGGUUUGAAAACAUUUCCUCUACUUCCAUUAAUGUUCAUACGAUGCUGUGGAUAUACACCUCAUAAUUAGGGCCACCUGUUCUUCUGUGAAUCCCAUCCGAAUCAUUACUUCCUUCAAAAAAACCCAUUUAACUCUAUCAUAAACUUUACUCAUGUCUAGUUUUGCCAUGAAUCCCUUCUUUCCUGUUCUUUUCUGGCGUAAUGUGUAAAAGCUCAUAGGCUAUUAACAUGUUGUCAGAUAUUAAUCGGCUCGGGAAAAACAUACUUUGGGCAUUAUCAAUGCAUCUUCCAAUAAAUUCCUGGAGGCGAUUUGCAAUUGUUUUGGCAACAAGCUUUUAUAGAACUGUGCAUAGGCUAAUAGGUCGAAAAUUCACAAGAUUUGUAGGAUUAGAAAUUUUUGGAAUAAGUACCAAUUCCGUUAGAUUUAAAGAACCGAAAUCCUUACCCUCAUUUAAGACACCUAAACAAAAAUCUGACAUCUCAGCCAACAAUGUGUCAGAAUUUCUGAAAAAAUAAACCCGAAAAAUCAUCAUGUCCUGGUGCUUUAGUGGGCCCCAUGUCUUUAAGAGCCGAAUAUACUUCCUCUACCGAAUAUUCUGCCAAUAAAGCUGCAUUGAUAUCAUGUGAAAUGCUAUUAUUAAUGCCUGAUAAAAGUUGGGAUAAAUUCCCCACUCCAUUAGAUGAAAAAAGAUUCUGGAAGUAAGCUCAAGCUGCCUCGCUUAUUUCAGUUUUAUCAUAGAUUUCCUUACCCUCAUCUGUUUCCAGCCUGUUUAUUGUGUUGAUCCUUCUUCGAAAGGAGGCAAAAACAAAUUUAACUUUUAGUAUUUAAUCAAUACUAAAAUUUUAAAAUGUAGAAAGUUAUAGAAAUUAAAAAUGGCAUAAUACAAUGACUAAUAAUAAUUUUUAACUUUUAUUUUAUUAUUCAAAAUAUAUUAAAAAUAAUUUUAUAUUAAUAUUAUAUAUUUUCAUGAUUAUUUUAAUUAACUUUUCUCUUUUGUCAGUCGACUGUAAGAAGUGAUGGAGUUGAAUGUUGUGGUCAACAUCAUCUCUGAGAGUUGGGAUUGGAGGUACUCAUGGGUAAGGUCAGGUCGGGUUUGAGCCCGGCCCAUACAAGAUUUUUAGGCCAACUUUUCAAGCUUGCCUCAGUCCGACCUAAAAAAUGGUCUUAUUUUUUUCUCUAAGCCCAACUCAAUUUAAUAAGGUAAACUUGGCUCGGCUCAACUCGCCCAUAUUUGAAUUUUUGUAGAAGAGUUUAUUUUUAAAAAAUAAAACAUAUAAUACACUAAAAAUGCUAAAAUAAAAGUUUUCUAACACAUUAAAAAUAUCUAUAUUAAAAAUAAUACCAUAAAUAUAAUAAUUAUUUUAUUAUAUUAAAAAAUAUAAAUAAAUAUAAUAAUUGUUUUAUUGUAUUAAAUAUAAUUUUUAAAAUGCUAUAUUUUGGUUUAGGUUAUUUAGUUUGGUAAGUUUUUUUUAGGUUUUGAGUAAUAAGUUUAAUUGUUAUGGGUUAGUGAUUUAAUAUAAAUAUAAAUACAUAUAAUUAUUAUUUAACAUAUAUAAUUAAUAUAAUUAUUUU
This 3962-nucleotide long non-coding RNA is filed under the name Gossypium barbadense (sea-island cotton). RNAcentral's name for it is "long non-coding RNA (GBAR_LNC004061)". Lineage: Eukaryota; Viridiplantae; Streptophyta; Magnoliopsida; Malvales; Malvaceae. The record is from RNAcentral.